Molecule: ribosomal RNA, 253 nt
Filed under: uncultured bacterium
Lineage: Bacteria
Description: partial 16S ribosomal RNA
Rfam family: Bacterial small subunit ribosomal RNA
Source: RNAcentral
UACGAAGGGUGCAAACGUUGCUCGGAAUUAUUGGGCGUAAAGCGCACGUAGGCGGCUUGUCGCGUCGGCUGUGAAAACCCGCGGCUUAACUGCGGGCUUGCAGUUGAUACGGGCAGGCUAGAGUUCGGUAGGGGAGACUGGAAUUCCUGGUGUAGCGGUGAAAUGCGCAGAUAUCAGGAGGAACACCGGUGGCGAAGGCGGGUCUCUGGGCCGAUACUGACGCUGAGGAGCGAAAGCGUGGGGAGCGAACAGG